GCCGGGGUGGUGGAAUGGUAGACACCGGGGACUUAAAAUCCCCUGGCUGCAAGGCCGUGUGAGUUCAAAUCUCAUCCCCGGCA
This 83-nucleotide transfer RNA is filed under the name Spirochaetaceae bacterium. Its description in RNAcentral is "tRNA-Leu". It matches the Rfam family "tRNA". From Rfam's summary of the family: Transfer RNA (tRNA) molecules are approximately 80 nucleotides in length. The record is from RNAcentral. Lineage: Bacteria; Pseudomonadati; Spirochaetota; Spirochaetia; Spirochaetales; Spirochaetaceae.